GAUGAACGCUGGCGGCGUGCCUAAUACAUGCAAGUCGAGCGAACAGACGAGGAGCUUGCUCCUCUGACGUUAGCGGCGGACGGGUGAGUAACACGUGGAUAACCUACCUAUAAGACUGGGAUAACUUCGGGAAACCGGAGCUAAUACCGGAUAAUAUAUUGAACCGCAUGGUUCAAUAGUGAAAGACGGUUUUGCUGUCACUUAUAGUUGGAUCCGCGCCGCAUUAGCUAGUUGGUAAGGUAACGGCUUACCAAGGCAACGAUGCGUAACCGACCUGAGAGGGUGAUCGGCCACACUAGAACUGAGACACGGUCCAGACUCCUAAGGGAGGCAGCAGUAGGGAAUCUUCCGAAAUGGGCGAAAGCUUGACGGAGCAAAGCCGCGUGAGUGAUGAAGGUCUUCGGAUCGUAAAACUCUGUUAUUAGGGAAGAACAAAUGUGUAAGUAACUAUGCACGUCUUGACGGUACCUAAUCAGAAAGCCACGGCUAACUACGUG
This 497-nucleotide ribosomal RNA is filed under the name uncultured bacterium. RNAcentral describes it as "partial 16S ribosomal RNA". It matches the Rfam family "Bacterial small subunit ribosomal RNA", at positions 28 to 507 of the family's 1533-position model. The record is from RNAcentral.